This 565-nucleotide ribosomal RNA is filed under the name uncultured bacterium. Its description in RNAcentral is "bacterial SSU rRNA". It matches the Rfam family "Bacterial small subunit ribosomal RNA", at positions 338 to 916 of the family's 1533-position model. The record is from RNAcentral.
CCUACGGGAGGCAGCAGUAAGGAAUCUUCCACAAUGGACGAAAGUCUGAUGGAGCAACGCCGCGUGCAGGAUGAAGGCUUUCGGGUCGUAAACUGCUUUUAUAUGGGAAGAUUAUGACGGUACCAUAUGAAUAAGGACCGGCUAACUACGUGCCAGCAGCCGCGGUAAUACGUAGGGUCCAAGCGAUAUCCGGAAUUACUGGGCGUAAAGCGUGUGUAGGUGGAUUAAUAAGUGUGAUGCGAAAUCCGGCGGCUCAACCGUUUGGACUGUGUCGCAUACUGUUAGUCUAGAGGACGGCAGAGGUAAGUGGAAUUACGGGUGUAGCAGUGAAAUGCGUAGAUAUCCGUAGGAACACCAAUGGCGAAGGCAGCUUACUGGGCCACACCUGACACUGAGACACGAAAGCGUAGGGGAGCGAACAGGAUUAGAUACCCUGGUAGUCCACGCCGUAAACCGAUGCAUACUAUUAGUAUGGGGUAUCGACCCCCUGUGCUGAGAAGCUAACGCGAUAAGUAUGCCGCCUGGGGAGUACGAGCGCAAGCUUAAAACUCAAAUGAAUUGACGG